UACGUAGGGUGCGAGCGUUAAUCGGAAUUACUGGGCGUAAAGUGUGCGCAGGCGGCCGCGCAAGUCGAGUGUGAAAGCCCCGAGCUUAACUCCGGGCCUGCAGUCGAUACGGGCAGACUGGAGUUCGGCAGGGGAGACUGGAAUUCCUGGUGUAGCGGUGAAAUGCGCAGAUAUCAGGAGGAACACCGGUGGCGAAGGCGGGUCUCUGGGCCGAUACUGACGCUGAGGAGCGAAAGCGUGGGGAGCGAACAGG
RNAcentral lists this ribosomal RNA (253 nucleotides) under uncultured bacterium. RNAcentral describes it as "partial 16S ribosomal RNA". It matches the Rfam family "Bacterial small subunit ribosomal RNA", at positions 524 to 776 of the family's 1533-position model. The record is from RNAcentral.